This 176-nucleotide ribosomal RNA is filed under the name Odoribacter splanchnicus. RNAcentral describes it as "partial 16S ribosomal RNA". It matches the Rfam family "Bacterial small subunit ribosomal RNA", at positions 1367 to 1533 of the family's 1533-position model. Lineage: Bacteria; Pseudomonadati; Bacteroidota; Bacteroidia; Bacteroidales; Odoribacteraceae. The record is from RNAcentral.
UACGUUCCCGGGCCUUGUACACACCGCCCGUCACACCAUGAGAGUCGGGAACACCCGAAGUCCGUAGCCUAACCGCAAGGGGGGCGCGGCCGAAGGUGGGUUCGAUAAUUGGGGUGAAGUCGUAACAAGGUAGCCGUAUCGGAAGGUGCGGCUGGAUCACCUCCUUUCUAAGGAGA